Molecule: transfer RNA, 74 nt
Filed under: Nitrososphaerota archaeon
Lineage: Archaea; Thermoproteati; Nitrososphaerota
Description: Thaumarchaeota archaeon tRNA-Thr
Rfam family: tRNA
About the family: Transfer RNA (tRNA) molecules are approximately 80 nucleotides in length. Their secondary structure includes four short double-helical elements and three loops (D, anti-codon, and T loops).
Source: RNAcentral
GCCUCGGUAGCUCAGCUGGUUAGAGCGUUGCCUUGGUAAGGCAAAGGUCGAGGGUUCAAAUCCCUCCCGAGGCU